AAAAGUGCCUUGCGUAAUUGGUCUUCACGUUUCCGGAGUCAAGCGGAAGAAUAGGCAUCAACGUGCCUCUGUUGCGUUUCUGAAGCCAAAAAUAUAGGAGAAUGGUGUGACGUCCGUCACACCAUGUGUUACGCUCGUAACACAAGGCAGCAGGGCGUGACGCUCGUCACACCAUGUGUGGCGCUCGUCACAGGCUCAGCGCUCCUGGCUUUUGAUUGUGGGUUGGGCUUUUGUGGAUUUUGCUUCUCUUCAU
Molecule: long non-coding RNA, 253 nt
Filed under: Lathyrus oleraceus (garden pea)
Lineage: Eukaryota; Viridiplantae; Streptophyta; Magnoliopsida; Fabales; Fabaceae
Description: Pisum sativum (pea) long non-coding RNA (PSAT_LNC026196)
Source: RNAcentral